Molecule: ribosomal RNA, 816 nt
Filed under: Halosydna sp. YZ-2018
Lineage: Eukaryota; Metazoa; Annelida; Polychaeta; Phyllodocida; Polynoidae
Description: 12S ribosomal RNA
Source: RNAcentral
AAGUUUGAUUCUGACUUCCCAAUUAAUCAAUUUUAGAAUUUUACACAUGCAUAUUCCGUUUACCCGUGAGGUCUUCUACUUAUUUAAAACUUUCUACACGAAAAUAAUGGCUUCUUUUUAUUUUCCAGUUUUCUCACGUCUGCAGUGUCUAACCCUCAUCUUAUCUUUGCGCAAGCAAGAAUGGGUCUAAAAUUUUCAAGCUGACUAAAUCUGUGCCAGCAGUCGCGGUUAUACAGAAAGCUUUAUUUAAUUCAUUUAGGGCUGAAUUUGAGGAAAAUUAUUUUAACUCUGGGGUUCAAUCCAGCUAAGUUUUUUACCUUCUUCCUCUCUAUUCAUAUUUUCGAAAGUUUAGACCAAAACAAGGAUUAGAUACCCUUUUAUUCUAAACCGUAAACACAAACCUGGGCACUACGAACUCAUGUUUAAAACCCAAAGAACUUGGCGGUACUCUAACCACUUAGGGGAACCUGUAACUUAAUAUGAUAAUCCACACUUGACCCUUCUCUUUCUUGACAAUCAGCUUGUGUACUGCCGUCGCCAGUUUACCUUUAAAAAGAACUUUAGUAAACUAACGAGUUAAUCCUCUUCACGUCAGGUCCUAGUGCAGCUAAUGAAUGAGUGCUCUAUGGGUUACAAUCUCUAAUAAGACAGCGAAUACUCUUUUUAAAAAGGAGUUGAAGAUGGACUUAAUUGUAAGGGUAUUUUAUAAUUUUACUCUGAACAAUGGAAAUCUAGAGUGUGCACAAAUCGCCCGUCACUCCCCUUGAAAAAGGGGAUAAGUCGUAACAUAGUAGGGGUAAUGGAAAUUGCCCCUAA